Molecule: transfer RNA, 72 nt
Filed under: Camelus bactrianus (Bactrian camel)
Lineage: Eukaryota; Metazoa; Chordata; Mammalia; Artiodactyla; Camelidae
Also listed under: 2 other names
Rfam family: tRNA
About the family: Transfer RNA (tRNA) molecules are approximately 80 nucleotides in length. Their secondary structure includes four short double-helical elements and three loops (D, anti-codon, and T loops).
Source: Rfam by way of RNAcentral
GGGGUAAUAGCUCAGAGGUGGAGCACAUGCUUAGCAUGCAUGGGGUUCUGGGUUCAAUCUCCAGUACCUCUG